GUAGGUGAACCUGCGGAAGGAUCAUUAACACUAAUCCAAACCUACUCAACCAAGCCUUCAAGUUGCUGACGAAAGUUAGCAGCCUACAAACGUAACCAAAAGAAAGCUAAACAAGCUAAACCUAAAACAAAUCCUCAACGAUGGAUAUCUAGGUUCCUACAACGAUGAAGAACGCAGCGAAGUGCGAUAAGCAAUGCGAAUUGCAGAACCGUGAGUCAUCAGAUUUUUGAACGCAACUGGCACCUUAGGGAAUUCCCUGAGGUAUGCUUCUUUCAGUAUGUGAUUCUCUCCUCACCCAAAAGAUAAUGCGACAGAUGCCCUUCUGUUGCUAAGCUCGAAAGCACUCUGCGCUCUGCAGUGGCUGGUGUUCGCAUCGGCCGCACUCAAUGCAGCAGUCACAUUCUCCAAUGUGAACUCAUUGAGAGCAGAGCCAGCGCGUGGGGCUAGUACCCGUGCCAGUGCUUGGCUAAUCUAAUUUUUUAAGCAUCUGAAAUGAAGUAGGAUCACCCGCUGAACUUAAGCAUAUCAGUA
RNAcentral lists this ribosomal RNA (531 nucleotides) under Rimostrombidium veniliae. Its description in RNAcentral is "eukaryotic LSU rRNA". The stretch from base 130 to 281 matches the Rfam family "5.8S ribosomal RNA". Lineage: Eukaryota; Ciliophora; Spirotrichea; Choreotrichida; Strobilidiidae. The record is from RNAcentral.